CUGCACUCAGAUGCCAAAAGCUUUACCGACACCCCCUGCACAGACUCCCUGGGCCUGUCCUUUCUAGUACGAGGGAUGAUAAUUGGAUAUUUCGAUCAAUGUAUUAGAAGGCAUUUCAUGGUAUGCCUGUGCAAGUAAUUCCACGUGGCAUGGCUUAGGAGACAGUAAGCUGUUUAUAAGACAGCAGGGGACAGACUGCAGUUCCUAAUUUACUAACUCCUGCACAAGAUCGUUGUUUUCUUUCUUUUUUUAUCGAAACAUGCAAUUAAAUGAACACAGGAUCAUCUGAUAUGCCUGCUCACCAG
RNAcentral lists this long non-coding RNA (305 nucleotides) under Cricetulus griseus (Chinese hamster). Its description in RNAcentral is "lncRNA (ENSCGRG00000025646.1)". The record is from RNAcentral. Lineage: Eukaryota; Metazoa; Chordata; Mammalia; Rodentia; Cricetidae.